GAGAGGUUUGCAGUCUAUCAUAUGUGAACGGAGCUGAAUUUAAGAGAAAAGUGAACAUUUUAAGAACCUGUUCGUUGGAAAAAGAAGGGAAUCGAUAACUUUUCAUCUUGUACCGAUCUAUAUUGGGAUUGCAUUGACAGGAUGGGGACCAGAAAGAUCAUAUCAGUUUUCCUGAUUCUAACAGUUCUUUACGGAUUUAUCCAAACCACAAGCCAAGAACUUACAACAACAACUACAACUGCAGCAACAACUACAACUGCUGCACCAACUACUGCUGCACCUACUACCGCU
Molecule: long non-coding RNA, 291 nt
Organism: Hippoglossus stenolepis (Pacific halibut)
Lineage: Eukaryota; Metazoa; Chordata; Actinopteri; Pleuronectiformes; Pleuronectidae
Exons: 3
Source: RefSeq, a predicted model, not a curated record